GUGACAGUCAGUUCAAUUAUCCAAAGGUUCGAAUAAAUGAGGUACGAAUUAACAAGCAUUUACUGUAUAACUUUUUGUGUUUAUAGUGCAAUGAGGCUAUUUAAAGUGUUUUGGAAGUGUUAUAAUAGGAAAAUGAUACACGGGAUGCUGCUCUGCACACUGAAAAAAGCUUUGACGCGGCCUUGAAAGCAUUUGAAUACCUAUGAAUUUCUGCCACCGAGACCUGUACAAAUCCUGAUAUUGUACAUUCACCAGAGUGCUCUGAAACAACCAAUCAAAUGUGCCCUAAAUGUACCACUUCUGCUAUGAAGUAAAUAUUUUUGUGUUUCAGCGGUGCUGCUGCGGGUGCUGCGGGUGCAGCUGGAGGUGCGGCAGCAGAACAGGGACGUCUUGCAUGAGCUCCAGCAGCUGAGGCAUGAGGUACGGGUCGUGUCCGAGAGGCUGGAUGAAAUUGAGCCUCUCGACAGGACCCGGGCAGUGUCUCAGCCUGCCCUGUCGACGGUGCCUCCAGUUCUUCCUCGGCUACCUGCCGACAAUAUUGAAGAAUUGGAGGCAGCAGAGGCAGCCGUGCAGGAUGAGGCUGUGGCUGCCACCUUGCGCAAGCACCUCCUGCAAAUAGGAGGGAAGUCGCUGCGCGAGGUGGCAUCGAAUGCCAUGAAGGCUGUAAUGGCACACCCCGUCCAAGUGCUUUACAGCCUUCAUGGCAGGAAGGGGAAGAGGGCUUUCAUAAAUCUGAAGGUAUGCCGGAUAGUCACAGGUAAGGCCUCCUUAGUCAUCCUUUUGCAUUUGCAAGUAUUGUGUAUACAGCUGAACUCCUCUACAGCGAAAUGGCUUGCCAAAAUCCUGUCUUUCAUAUAAAUUGUUAACUUCUACAACGAAGAAAUUUAGGUGUCCCUGUUGGCUGAUUUCAUUUUUUACUAUGAAAGCCACAUACUCGGCCACCACUGCCCUUGAAGGCGUUGCGAAGGUGUGCUCUGCACUAGCGCCAAUGGCAGUGUAGGUGAAUUGCUUGACGAGCAUGCCGAUGAAUUGCAUCACACCAGGCAGCUUACACGUUUAGCAUCAGCGGGUGAGAUAGUUGAUGAAUAUGUCUCGGUUGGUAAAGACAUGGUGUGAUCAUCACUGAUGAUGUUACCGCUAUGUUAGGGUGGAAAAACAGGAAUGUCAACGAAGGCAACAGGGAUGAAGAUCCUGUAAAUGGAUCAAGAAUUUUCAUGGCGGAGAAGGCGAUAGCAGUAUUUGAUUCCCCACAGCAUUACUUUGCGUA
Dermacentor silvarum is the source of this 1267-nucleotide long non-coding RNA. RefSeq lists it as uncharacterized. The record is from RefSeq and is a predicted model, not a curated record. The transcript is spliced from 3 exons. Lineage: Eukaryota; Metazoa; Arthropoda; Arachnida; Ixodida; Ixodidae.